GCGGGAUUAGUUAAGUGGUAUAACACAUGCUUCCCAAGCAUGGGUCGCGGGUUCGAUUCCCGCAUCCCGCA
RNAcentral lists this transfer RNA (71 nucleotides) under Chloroflexota bacterium. RNAcentral's name for it is "Chloroflexi bacterium tRNA-Gly". It matches the Rfam family "tRNA". From Rfam's summary of the family: Transfer RNA (tRNA) molecules are approximately 80 nucleotides in length. Their secondary structure includes four short double-helical elements and three loops (D, anti-codon, and T loops). The record is from RNAcentral. Lineage: Bacteria; Bacillati; Chloroflexota.